Molecule: ribosomal RNA, 498 nt
Filed under: Sneathiella sp.
Lineage: Bacteria; Pseudomonadati; Pseudomonadota; Alphaproteobacteria; Sneathiellales; Sneathiellaceae
Description: bacterial SSU rRNA
Rfam family: Bacterial small subunit ribosomal RNA
Source: RNAcentral
UAAAGUUGGUGGAGAGUGGCGCACGGGUGAGUAACGCGUGGGGAUUUGCCUUCUGGUACGGGAUAACGUUUGGAAACGAACGCUAAUACCGUAUGAUAUCUACGGAUUAAAGAUUUAUCGCCAGGAGAUGAACCCGCGUAGGAUUAGAUAGUUGGUGGGGUAAUGGCCUACCAAGUCGACGAUCUUUAGCUGGUCUGAGAGGACGAUCAGCCACACUGGAACUGAGACACGGUCCAGACUCCUACGGGAGGCAGCAGUGGGGAAUAUUGGACAAUGGGGGCAACCCUGAUCCAGCCAUGCCGCGUGAGUGAAGAAGGCCUUAGGGUUGUAAAGCUCUUUCGCUAGGGAAGAUAAUGACGGUACCUAGUAAAGAAGUCCCGGCUAACUCCGUGCCAGCAGCCGCGGUAAUACGGAGGGGACUAGCGUUGUUCGGAAUUACUGGGCGUAAAGAGUACGUAGGCGGCUAAUCAAGUUGGGUGUGAAAGCCCGGGGCUCAAU